CUUCAGUUAGAUCAUCUCCACAAAGGGAAAAGAGGAGGAGGAGAGUGGGAAUAACUAAUUCAGCCUCACAGCUCAUAUCAGUAUCCCCUGACUGAAGACUUCACAGUAGUGUAUCUGAAUGGAUUUUGGAGGGAGCAGUAAAACUGACAGCUGAUAAACCACAUAUAUUACCACAGUGAAUUAAAUCUUUAAUAGUGGAAUAAGGAAAAGAAAUAAUGAGUAGCAAACUGUGUAUUUCCAACGUGGAAUUUAUGAAAGUUUGGAGACCUAAUAGUAACAUUCAACUUGAGAACACUAGGUGAUUAAAGGUGGAUCAAAACCAAUGCAUUAGUCAAGUUCAGUGUCUUACUCUUCUUGUGCUGUUGAUGACAGACCAUAAAGCCAUCUCAGAAGUAUGGCACAGCUCACAGUAGCCUGAUUUGAAACCCUAAGCUUCAUAAGGGCUAAUACUGAAACAAUAAAUUGAUCACACCCCUCUGGUUUCUUUGUA
This is a long non-coding RNA of Chiroxiphia lanceolata (lance-tailed manakin), 490 nucleotides long. RefSeq lists it as uncharacterized. The transcript is spliced from 4 exons. The record is from RefSeq and is a predicted model, not a curated record. Lineage: Eukaryota; Metazoa; Chordata; Aves; Passeriformes; Pipridae.